RNAcentral lists this long non-coding RNA (642 nucleotides) under Microcebus murinus (gray mouse lemur). Its description in RNAcentral is "lncRNA (ENSMICG00000048534.1)". The record is from RNAcentral. Lineage: Eukaryota; Metazoa; Chordata; Mammalia; Primates; Cheirogaleidae.
GUUGGAGGCGUCUGGGCCCCAGAUUUGCCAUCUAGGGCGAAAGGGGCUGAGAACCUGCUCUGGUCUCUGUGAUAACAGGGCUGCUCUGCUAGUUGGAGGGGAAAUAAAACAUAGGCGUUGCCAUAGUAACCGUGGAGGUGGCGGGGACUGACAUGCAAUAGAUUUCUGUAUAUAGACUUUUUUCACCUUCUAAUCUUCGUCUGGCAGAGGUAAAACACUCACCACAUGUUCCACUUGCUCCCUGGCUCCUCCCACACUGCUGUAGGGAACUUGGGGACAUGGGACAGUUCUGGCUACUGAAAUCAACACCGGACAUUCCAGACAGAGGCCUGCAUGAGCCUUGGUCCCUGAGCAGCUACGGGACAGAGCCCUCCUGCCAACUGCCAUGGUUUGAGUUGCCUGUUUAACUGUAACUUGGACCCACUGACCAAACUCUUCCCAUUCUCCUUCUCCCUUACCCUUCCCAGCACCCCCACGUCUAUGAGAUCAUCUAUUUUAGAUGCCACAUAAAAGUGAGAUCAUGUCGGAAUUUUCUUUGUGAGCCUGGCUUGUUUCAGUUAAGAAAAUGUCCUUCAGGUUCAUUCAUGUUGCUGUAAAUGACAGGAUCUUAUACUUUUAUAUGUCCAAAUAAUUUAAAAGAAG